RNAcentral lists this ribosomal RNA (442 nucleotides) under uncultured bacterium. Its description in RNAcentral is "partial 16S ribosomal RNA". It matches the Rfam family "Bacterial small subunit ribosomal RNA", at positions 28 to 507 of the family's 1533-position model. The record is from RNAcentral.
GAUGAACGCUGGCGGCGUGCCUUAUACAUGCAAGUCGAGCGGGUUUAGACUCACGGCAAACGGGUGAGUAACACGUAGGUACUUUCCUUGUCACAGGAAUAACCCUCUGAAAGGAGGGCUAAUACCUGAUGUGAUAGCAUGAUCAAAUGGUAUCCGCAAGGAUUACCGGACAAGAGGAGGCCUGCGGCCUAUCAGCUAGUUGGCGGGCUAAAUGCCCACCAAGGCUAUGACGGGGAGCUGGCCUUAUGAGGAUGAUCAGUCACAUGGGCACUGAGACACGGGCCCAACUCCUUCGGGAGGGAGCGGUAGGGAAUUUUACGCAAUGGGCGAAAGCCUGACGCACCUUCGCCUCGUGCGGGAUGAAGGCCUUGGGGUAGUAAACCGCUUUUAUAAGGGACGAACUUUGACGGUACCUUAUGAAUAAGCAGUUGCUAACUCUGUG